RNAcentral lists this ribosomal RNA (253 nucleotides) under uncultured bacterium. RNAcentral's name for it is "partial 16S ribosomal RNA". It matches the Rfam family "Bacterial small subunit ribosomal RNA", at positions 524 to 776 of the family's 1533-position model. The record is from RNAcentral.
UACGUAGGGGGCAAGCGUUGUCCGGAAUCAUUGGGCGUAAAGAGCGUGUAGGCGGCUCGGUAAGUCCGCUCUGAAAGCCCGGGGCUCAACCCCGGGAGGCGGGCGGAUACUGUCGAGCUAGAGUCCGGAAGAGGCGAGUGGAAUUCCUGGUGUAGCGGUGAAAUGCGCAGAUAUCAGGAGGAACACCAAUGGCGGAGGCAGCUCGCUGGGACGGUACUGGCGCUGAGACGCGAAAGCGUGGGGAGCAAACAGG